GAUGAACGCUGGCGGCGUGCCUAAUACAUGCAAGUCGAGCGAACAGACGAGGAGCUUGCUCCUCUGACGUUAGCGGCGGACGGGUGAGUAACACGUGGAUAACCUACCUAUAAGACUGGGAUAACUUCGGGAAACCGGAGCUAAUACCGGAUAAUAUAUUGAACCGCAUGGUUCCAUAGUGAAAGACGGUUUUGCUGUCACUUAUAGAUGGAUCCGCGCCGCAUUAGCUAGUUGGUAAGGUAACGGCUUACCAAGGCAACGAUGCGUAGCCGACCUGAGAGGGUGAUCGGCCACACUGGAACUGAGACACGGUCCAGACUCCUACGGGAGGCAGCAGUAGGGAAUCUUCCGCAAUGGGCGAAAGCCUGACGGAGCAACGCCGCGUGAGUGAUGAAGGUCUUCGGAUCGUAAAACUCUGUUAUUAGGGAAGAACAAAGGUGUAAGUAACUAUGCACGUCUUGACGGUACCUAAUCAGAAAGCCACGGCUAACUACGUG
RNAcentral lists this ribosomal RNA (497 nucleotides) under uncultured bacterium. Its description in RNAcentral is "partial 16S ribosomal RNA". It matches the Rfam family "Bacterial small subunit ribosomal RNA", at positions 28 to 507 of the family's 1533-position model. The record is from RNAcentral.